AAGCGAUCGGGGAAACCAGAGCCGUUCUCUCUACCGCUCUGGGGGAAACUAAAGAAAACGGAGAAAAACAAAAUACAAACCGGAAUGAAAACAAAACGCUGGGAAACCCUGAAAAUGAAAGACGAGGACACGAGGUAAAGACGAGGUAAUGGACGUUGACCGCUCUCUACGUACGGUACAUAUUCCUACAGACGGAGACGUUGACAGGUUCCUAGCAAACUGGUGGCUAGAAAAAAAACAAGUAGGAUGUGCGGACAGGUGGAUAAAUGGAUAGAUGGAUGGAUAGAUGGAUGGAUGGAUAAAGGGAGAUGAUGCCGCAGAGAGCACUCGGUGUGGAGGAAUCGCCAUCGACCUCCCGUCCCGACCCGUUCCUAAAGAAAGAGCGCGAGAGAUGAUCAACUGAACGUGCUACCUACAAACCCCUGUUGUACCUGGAAGUCCCAGUGUCCGGAUUUGAGGUCAUGUUGAGCCAAAAUGCUUUUGGAAGGAGGAAAGCCCUCAAAAAAGUACUAAGCUGGCAGAUACCCAGGAAAUUGGGUUCUCACCAACUAGGUGUGUGAUAAAAGUCUAAUGGUGCAAAAUGGGUUUGGUGGGCCAGUCACAUCCUGUUAGAGCUCGAGACUAAAUAAGUGCUGACUUCUGACACAACAGAUAGCCAUUCCGGCUCAGUGACUACACAUGACAUUAAUGCACUCUCAUAGUUUUAAUAAAUGUGAAUAAUUUUAUUAGCUGAAUAAAUACUGGCACUGUGGUCAGAUCCUGCGCUCA
Long non-coding RNA from Trichomycterus rosablanca, 768 nucleotides. RefSeq lists it as uncharacterized. Lineage: Eukaryota; Metazoa; Chordata; Actinopteri; Siluriformes; Trichomycteridae. The record is from RefSeq and is a predicted model, not a curated record. The transcript is spliced from 3 exons.